Long non-coding RNA from Brienomyrus brachyistius, 290 nucleotides. RefSeq lists it as uncharacterized. NCBI's taxonomy places the organism in Eukaryota, Metazoa, Chordata, Actinopteri, Osteoglossiformes, Mormyridae. The transcript has 2 exons. The record is from RefSeq and is a predicted model, not a curated record.
CCUCUGGCUGGUCCUACAGAACUCUGCAUGCAAAAACCACCAGACAUAGGAGCAUAUUCUUCCCUCAGACCAUCACCCUCAUAAGCAGGAGAGCUCCUCAGGCAUCUCCAGCCUGCAAUUCCUGGGAAAUGCCACCUGCCACCCAUCCUUGGAAACGUCGCCCAUUCUCAGGAUCUCAUACGUCACCAUUCAUCACAGAGUCACAGUGCCUGCAGACAUCUGGAUAAAAGGAAAAGCCCUGAAGUGCAACACAUUUUGGAAACUUGCAUAAUAAAAAUUUCCUCUCAUCA